UACGUAGGUGACCAGCGUUGUCCGGAUUUACUGGGCGUAAAGAGCGCGCAGGCGGUCGUUCAAGUCGAGUGUGAAAGCCCCCGGCUCAACUGGGGAGGGUCAUUCGAUACUGAUCGACUGGAAGGCAGGAGAGGGAAGCGGAAUUCCCGGUGUAGUGGUGAAAUGCGUAGAUAUCGGGAGGAACACCAGUGGCGAAGGCGGCAUCCUGGACCAUUACUGACGCUGAGGCGCGAAAGCUAGGGGAGCAAACGGG
RNAcentral lists this ribosomal RNA (253 nucleotides) under uncultured bacterium. RNAcentral describes it as "partial 16S ribosomal RNA". It matches the Rfam family "Bacterial small subunit ribosomal RNA", at positions 524 to 776 of the family's 1533-position model. The record is from RNAcentral.